Molecule: ribosomal RNA, 515 nt
Filed under: uncultured bacterium
Lineage: Bacteria
Description: bacterial SSU rRNA
Rfam family: Bacterial small subunit ribosomal RNA
Source: RNAcentral
CUAGAACGAACGCUGGCGGCGUGCUUAACACAUGCAAGUCGAACGCGAAAGGGACUUCGGUCCUGAGUAAAGUGGCGCACGGGUGAGUAACGCGUAGAUAACCUGUCUUCAUGUCUGGAAUAAUACGCCGAAAGGGGUACUAAUACCGGAUAUUCUUGCUUUUCAUAAGUUAUGCAAGCAAAGGUGGCCUCUGCAUAUGCUACUGCAUGAAGAGGGGUCUGCGUACCAUUAGCUAGUAGGUGGGGUAAUGGCCUACCUAGGCGACGAUGGUUAGCGGGUCUGAGAGGAUGAUCCGCCACACUGGCACUGGAACACGGGCCAGACUCCUACGGGAGGCAGCAGUGAGGAAUAUUGCGCAAUGGGGGAAACCCUGACGCAGCGACGCCGCGUGAGUGAAGGAAGGCCUUCGGGUCGUAAAGCUCUGUCAAGAGGAAAGAAGUGUACAAUGGCUAAUACCUGUUGUAUUUGACGGUACCUCUAAAGGAAGCACCGGCUAACUCCGUGCCAGCAGCCGC